CUCACACUGUUGCUGUGCUUCUGCAGAGACAGGCCAGAGGAGCCAUCAGGAGGAAAGCAGGAACCCAGCAUCCCAUCUCAGGGAGUCUGCUCACAAAAGGCCACAUUGCCUUACAGGACAUCCAUCUGAGGCUUCAGAACUGGAAGCAGGACAAAGGGUUGCAUCUGAAGAGGACCAUCUGCAGAAGGACUUCCUGUGGGAACGCCGUCAUUUCCAAAGAGGCUCCUUGCAGCUUAAGAGGUAAAGGAAACCCUGCAAGAACCAGCAAGUAAACAGCCCACACAUCUCAGGAAGCUCCUGGAACUUGGGAGUGUCAUAAGC
Long non-coding RNA from Jaculus jaculus (lesser Egyptian jerboa), 321 nucleotides. RefSeq lists it as uncharacterized. The transcript has 3 exons. The record is from RefSeq and is a predicted model, not a curated record. Lineage: Eukaryota; Metazoa; Chordata; Mammalia; Rodentia; Dipodidae.